RNAcentral lists this ribosomal RNA (119 nucleotides) under Prolemur simus (greater bamboo lemur). Lineage: Eukaryota; Metazoa; Chordata; Mammalia; Primates; Lemuridae. The record is from RNAcentral.
GUCUAUAGCUAUACUACCAUGAAUGGGCCCAAUCUUGUCUGAUCUUGGAAGCUAAGCAGCGUUGGGCCUGGUCAGUAGUUGGGUGGGAGACCACUUGGCAAUACUGGGUACUCUAGGCU